Molecule: non-coding RNA, 744 nt
Filed under: Pongo abelii (Sumatran orangutan)
Lineage: Eukaryota; Metazoa; Chordata; Mammalia; Primates; Hominidae
Source: RNAcentral
GAAAAUGGAGAGCUUAACAGAGGCUUGAGUUCACACAGGCAGAUAGGGCGUGGGGGUAAAGUCCUCUGAACAGACAGGGAACAGAAAUAAGUUGGUCUUCUCCUUGCAGGGGAUAGCAAACGGCGCAAACUUCUCAAAGGCCAGAACCCAUUAUUACCGCAAAGGCGCGGCAUCCCUUCUUAGCGGUCAUGAUGGCUGUGACGUCUCAGCUCAAUGGAAAAUUAAAGUCACCUCUGGGCACAUCAAACACUAUUGUAAAUGCGAAGCGUUUUAGAAGCCGUAUAAAAACUGAAGCAAGCGGGACUAGAAAAAUAAGCGAGCGGUGCGUUGCAGGUAACCGAGCCAGAGCGGUUAGGUGAGAGAACCGUGGGGGCGGCCAUCUUAGGGGAAGUUCGGUGUCCGUACGGCAGAACAUAUGCUCUCUGGGAAGCUUGCGGUGAAACUGGCCCAUGGAAAUGUCUUUAGAAGAGAAGAACCACCUGGCUCUGUUCUUGACUCUGGAAAAGAAUCCUUUUCUAGAAUUAUUUAGGUUGUUGCCAGAUUAAUUUCCUUCAGAGAGUUUCCUUGCCCCCACGCCUUCCUAUCUUUAAAGCCAACAAUAGUAUGUCAAAUCCCUUUAAUAUUUGAAACCACUGACUAUUGCUGUUGCAUCUCUCCGGUUUCUCCUAUUCUUAAGUGCUUGGGCAAUCCAGAAUAAUCUCCCAAUGCUAAAGUCAGCUGAUUAAUAAACUUAAUUACAAUGCA